RNAcentral lists this long non-coding RNA (5038 nucleotides) under Sus scrofa (pig). RNAcentral's name for it is "lncRNA (ENSSSCG00060003697.1)". Lineage: Eukaryota; Metazoa; Chordata; Mammalia; Artiodactyla; Suidae. The record is from RNAcentral.
CUACAGCAUAUGGAGGUUCCCAGUCUAGGGGUCAAAUUGGAGCUAUAGCUGCUGGCCUACGCCACAGCCAUACCAGAUGCAAGCCGAGUCUGCAACCUGCACCACAGCUCAUGGCAACACCAGAUCCUUAACCCACUGAGCAGGGCCAGGGAUCCAACCUGCAUCCUCAUUGAUGCUAGUCAGAUGAAGGGAUUGUUUCAUGGUGGACAAUUCAACAUGGCACAAACAGUUUACAGACACAAGAGACAACAAUGUUUUUGUAUAGUCAACAGAAAUGUCUUUGCUAAACUAAUAAAAUCCAGAGCUGUCUCUCUCUAGAUUACCUAGCCCAUGUUCCUUUCAUUUGUUUGCUCACCUUCUCCAUCAUCUGACUACACUUCGAUCUACUAUCAAAAGAAGGCUGUACUUCCAAUCUCAGAUUUCCAUUUUCUAUCUCCCUGUGCACUGCCUAAGUGGAAAUUUUUACCAGUAUCUUCUGGGAAGAGGCUCUAACAAGCCCUUUUUGUAUAUUAAGACAUUAAAUAAAAAAAAAAAAAAACUAACAGAACUUGUCCAUUUCAAUAUGACCAAUCAAUUCCUCUACAGAUCAGAAAUUACAGAAAAGGAAAUCUUUUAGUGAAGGCAAGAAAAUCAGCUGGGAGAAACUUACUGGUUGCAGAGAGUUGUCACAAGUUCCUGACAAGGAGAAACACCAGGGGACAAUGACCUCCCUUGUGAUUUGGACACAGGUCACCAGCAGCAAAUGCCCCAGGAGCCCAAGCAAAAUCAUCUUCAGGAUAAAUCUGCUCAAAAAAACAAGAGUUCCCAUGGUGGCACAGGGGUAACAAAGCCAACUAGUAUCCAUGAGGAUUCCGGUUUGAUCCCUGGCCCCACUCAGUGGGUUAAGGAUCCAGCAUUGCCGUGAGCUAUGGUAUAGACUGGCAGCUACAGCUCCGAUUUGACCCCUAGCCUGGGAGUUUCCCUAUGCCUCAGACGUGGCCCUAAAAAGAAAAAAGAAAAAAAAAUGUUAAAAAUGAAAUAAGUCAAUCUAGGGACAGCUGCUCUUUGGGUACACCAACUACUAGGAGGAAACUCUUCCAUUUAGCAUUUAUUUCAUUUGAUCUUCACAACCCUGAGAGGUGUCCAUCAUUAUCCCCUGUAUGGACAAUCACAACACAGGUUAAAUGACUUGCUCAACAGCCCACAGAUGACUUGUGACUGAGUUAAGACUAAUGGGCGUCCUGUCUCAUGAUCUCACUGCUUUCUCACCUGACCAGCUCCAGCCAGAACGUCCCCCCUCUUCUUCCUGGUCGGCAACAAAGACUCUGGGCUUCCAACUAGCAAAAUUCCUUUCUUAUUUCAAAGGAAAAAUUAUAAGGACAAUCAUAUGAUACAUUGUAUGAUGUUAACUUACCCGGGUAAUCAUUUUGCAAUAUAUGCAUUUGUCAAGUCAUUACGUUGUACAUCAUUGUACAUUGUGGCCUAAUGCAACACUAUUUAUCAAUUACUCAUCAAUAAAACUGGGGCAGGGGGAAUGCCUCAUAGUUAUGUAGUACUUAGCAAAUAACAAAGCAUUUGCAUUCAAACAACCUAUCUAUUGUGCAACCCAGAUACAUCCUAAGGAGAAAAAGGGACAAUAUUCUUUGUCUGUAACUGAUAGGAAAAUAGAGACUCCUGCCACCUGCAGGGUUGUCCAGAUGAAGAGCAACAGCGGUGGGGCUCAACAAACCCAAGACAGAUGGAAAAACUAUAGUGGAGCCUCGACCUCCAGAGACCCCGUUUUAGGGCAUGAAAGAGUUGUUCAUCUUCCUAAACCAACAGGAUGAGUUAACCCAACCUAACUUUCAACAGACUUCGAAAAUACCAAUGUUUGAUGUAAAGACUCACUGCCUACAGUGUUUAUCUUCCCUGAAAAAUGCUAAGGUCGAAACUAAGUAUGGGAAAGGAUAAAAACAAACAAACCAGCAACAUCCUUGAAGUGGCAGCUGGGAAAGUUUGAUCUUUAUAAACUUUUCAUUGGGCUGCAAAACAAUUUUCCUCUUCCCUACCAUUUAGUUACCAACCUACACUAGUUCACCAGAUAAAGAUCUCCAGGAUAAUGAUUAGAAUUGCAGGAAACAUAAUGGAAUACAAUACUGUGUGGGAGCCAAGGAGGUAGGUAGGCAUUGCAGUUGUGCAAAACUGUGUAUAAGAGCUUGGCUCCUCAUUGACCAGCCGUGUGCCCCGGGCAAAGUCCCUUCAACUCAGCACACUCUCAUUUCCUGGCUUUAAAAUGAAGAAUACCACCUACCUUGCCAUGAGGACCUAAGGACUUAAGGUAAUCAGGAGAAGCUGGGGGGUGAAUGGUAGUUACCAACACUGCUACUUAUUAUCAUUUUUGUGUUUUUUAGGGCCACACCUGCAGCCUAUGGAGGUUCCCAGGCUAGGGGUCAAAUCAGCCUACACCACAGCCACAGCCUCGUGGGAUCUGAGUCACAUCUGCGACCAACACCACGGCUCACAGCAACGCCAGAUCCUCAACCCACUGAGGCAGGCCAGGAAUCAAACCCGUGUCCUCAUGGACACUAGUCGGAUUCUUAACCUGCAGAGCCAGCUCAGAGCUCCUAUGAUCACAUUUUUAAACAUCCAUUGUAACAAGGAUUCCCAGAUUAGAGAGCCUCUUCCAUUUGAGGGACACCUACUGUGUACAAAACCCUGCCCUUGGGCACUCCUGAAUGAGUGGUUGUGAACCCCCCCUAACAAAGCUUCCAUUCUGCUGAAAGGCAGAGUUACUGCAAAAGACCCUAAGCAUUCACAGAACCCAUAAUGUGAAAGUUCUCCCAGGGGAGAACGCACCCCAAGUGUGAGCCCUGCACCAACACUGGGACAUGGACCAACAGCAGUAUGUGUCAUUUCUGAAAUGUCCAGCUUUGCCUCCUCCCCUUCUGAAUGAGCUGCACAGCCUUGCUGGGGGCUGAGUGGCCCAGCACUCGCAGCCGCAGUCUAUAAGAACUACAUUAACCGUGACCCUUCUAACAGGGUAAUUGCCACGUAUGUGUGUCAGGGCCGAUGCUCCCGCCUGCUCAGCCUGGGAACGGGCUGCCCUCCACCAGCAGGAGGUGGCUUGUCUCCCCCACAUGCCUAUCACUGCAGGGCCAAGCUUGGACCGGGAGAAGCCGGGCUUCCCCCACAAGACUCGCAUGGCCAGCCUCCCUCCCCAGUCAGCUUCUCCAUCCCAGAACUGCCUCCAUUCUGCACAGCACAGGUGUUUGUCUCCAUGUGUAGGGAGACAUUUACCUUCCUCUCCAAUUUCUCUCCUCUUAGACUCCAACUGACUCCUGAGGGCACGCAGAUCAGGCUCUUCCCAUAUCUGCUCAGGACAAGCCUGGUCCCCAAGCAAGUUCUUUACCCUGCCCAGAAAUCCUGACCCAGCAUGAUUAACUCCACUCCCUUGUCAGGGUGUGGCCCAAGCCCAUCUUCUCAUGAAGUGUCCUUUGAAGAAAUCCUCGCUGCUGAGAAUUUCUGGGGCCUGAGAUCUGAGAGCACGAUCCCAACACUUAAAUGAACUGUGUUUCCUACAUAUAUCCUGGGAGCAACCCCAGGGCUCUACUGGGACAAGUGAACUGCUCAACCGGCCUGGCUGGGACCCUUCCUUGCUCUGUGCAGCUCCCCAAAGUUGCUCAUUAACUCAAAGAGAACAAGCAUCCCAGCAGCGGUUAGAGUAACUAUUCCCUUAUAAAAAAGAACCACGACAUUCUAAAAGUUGCUGGUAGGUGUGACUGUGGCUCCGUGUUGUUCCACUAAUUUCGCCUGAACUAGACUUAUCUCCACGUUGAGUGUGUAAGCUUCUGCCAAGUAUCACCAUCUAGAAUUUCCAGGCACUAGGGAACCCAAUAUGCACUGAAUAUUCACACAUUUGCAGUAAGGAAGAAAGGACAUGCCAAGAGCAAUGACCCAAGUCCUCAGCACUCAUGGACACUCCAGGCAGUCCUGGGGAACCCUGCUAUCCCAGGCAGCCACCACUUCCACUCAGCUGGAGGAUUAUCAAGGUCAAGGCUCCCCAAUCCAUUCCAAGACCUUGGCAACUUCCUGGCCCCGAGGUACAUCCAGGGAGGGGGGCCCAGUUGUACAUGACAGCUAGAAAACCCACUGUUACCCUGCUGGCAUUCUCCAAAAUAUGUCACUGUUACCCUGACCUCCAUUCUCAAGCUAAAGAGGAAGAAGAGAAGAAAAUCCUUCAACUAUGGUUAAAUGUAAUCCCCACAGUCACCCUUCUGAGCUGUCUCAUCAUGGACUAGAACAAAUGUAGUACUUCUUAGAGGCAGGCCACUGGACAGAACGACCUUCGGGGCAUUUGCUAUACCCCAGGUCAGGCUGAUCUUCCCUAAACUCAGCAUAGCCUCUAAGAAGAGAAUUGAGGGUACUGGUUUGCUCCAUCCAAUGCCAACUGGAAGGAUGGGUAUCUCUCUGUGAUGUCAGGCCAGCUCAGCUAUCUGGGAAGAAUUCACAAGAACCAAGCAGCACAGAACCAUGACUCAACUGUCAGCACAAACAGCCUCCCUAGCCAGGCUCACCCUCGGGGCCCUCCUCAUCCACUGUUCUCGGGAGGUUUCAAAUCCUGAGGAGCUGAGCAACCACAGGGAUGCGCUUAGAAAGGACAGUAAACUCCUUCUGAAAAGUAAGUUCCUGAAAUAAAAUUAACACUCCACCAGGCACCUCCAAUGUAGCUCCAAGACUGAUGAGCAAGCAGGAAGUACCCAUUCAUCCAGCUUCUCAGAAGGUGGACAGACAGCAACGGCUCUGAACUAACUUAAUUCCCACUUACUUCCUACUCUACCAACCACACAAAAAUGCAUUUUGUAGAUGCAAUCAUCAGAGCUGCUGCUGAACCAGUACACAAAGAAAAAUUACAAUUUCUGAGGAACGAAGCACCUCGAAACUCACAGAUUUAAACAUCUAGAUGGGUGUCUGUUUCAGUGAAACAGAAGAAAGUCUUAGAAAAAUGGAAGCCUUUGCCAACAGCUCUAUUUGAAAAGAAUUCAUCUGAGUUAUGCCCCGUGCUUUUACUUCUUUAAUAGUA